RNAcentral lists this ribosomal RNA (301 nucleotides) under uncultured bacterium. Its description in RNAcentral is "partial 16S ribosomal RNA". It matches the Rfam family "Bacterial small subunit ribosomal RNA", at positions 509 to 808 of the family's 1533-position model. The record is from RNAcentral.
CAGUCGCCGCGGUAAUACGUAGGUGGCGAGCGUUAUCCGGAUUUAUUGGGCGUAAAGCGCGUCUAGGUGGUUAUGUAAGUCUGAUGUGAAAAUGCAGGGCUCAACUCUGUAUUGCGUUGGAAACUGUGUAACUAGAGUACUGGAGAGGUAAGCGGAACUACAAGUGUAGAGGUGAAAUUCGUAGAUAUUUGUAGGAAUGCCGAUGGGGAAGCCAGCUUACUGGACAGAUACUGACGCUAAAGCGCGAAAGCCAGGGGAGCGAACGGGAUUAGAUACCCCCGUAGUCCCUGUCUCUUAUACC